AGUGAACGCUGGCGGUAGGCCUAACACAUGCAAGUCGAACGGCAGCACAGUAAGAGCUUGCUCUUACGGGUGGCGAGUGGCGGACGGGUGAGGAAUACAUCGGAAUCUACUUUUUCGUGGGGGAUAACGUAGGGAAACUUACGCUAAUACCGCAUACGACCUACGGGUGAAAGCAGGGGAUCUUCGGACCUUGCGCGAUUGAAUGAGCCGAUGUCGGAUUAGCUAGUUGGCGGGGUAAAGGCCCACCAAGGCGACGAUCCGUAGCUGGUCUGAGAGGAUGAACAAGCAACCCUGAACCUAGGCACGGGUCAGACCCCCUCGGGGGGGCACAGGUGGGAAUUUUUGGAAAUGGGGGGAAACCUUAUCCAAGCCAUCCGGGUGGGGUGAAGAGGGCUUCCGGGUGGUAAAGCCUUUUUGUGGGGAAGGAAAAGAAGAAGGUUAAUACCCCGCUGUUCUGCCGGUACCAAAAGAUUAGGCACCGGCUACUUUCGU
RNAcentral lists this ribosomal RNA (492 nucleotides) under uncultured bacterium. Its description in RNAcentral is "partial 16S ribosomal RNA". It matches the Rfam family "Bacterial small subunit ribosomal RNA", at positions 29 to 506 of the family's 1533-position model. The record is from RNAcentral.